GAGAAAAGCGGGGACAGCUCUAUUAGACAUGAAACUGUGACCACGCUUCAGAGUCCCCUUUCCCACAGCAGCCAAGUUGCAAACAAAAGGGGGUAAAAGGACAAGGAAAUCUUACCACUUGCACAAGAAAACGGAAAGGAAGAUGGCAAAAGCUGACGCUACUGAUGCUUAUCUCUAAAGGACUCUGGAAAGCCACACCUCCCUCCCUCCAGAAACACCCGAGGGAGGGGUGGUUAGCUUAUUAGUGGACUUCAGGAGGCAACAGAUUUCAGUGAGUGUUGACAUCUGUCCUAACUCACUUCCCUAAACCACACUCAGCCUUCUCCAGCAAGAUCCAGCGUGAGGACAUCAAGCUGUUUCCUAACAGUGAGUGCCUUGUACACACUAGGCAACUAGCGAACAUUCACUGAUGGAUUAUAAAACAGAGAAGGGGUGGAGAACAUCCAACAUGGGGAUUCUGUGUGCUCUUGUAAGAUGUUUCUGCAGUUCCACCCUCGCCCUUCGCUCGUCCACUCAGACAGGAGGUGCUGGAUCACAACGGUCAGCGCUUCAAACUUGGUGUUACCACGGGAAAGAAGCUGUCUGAGGUGCAGGAUGAAUCCACUUUGGCUUUCACAUUUUGUCUUGUAUUGGGCCAACUCAAGCGUUCUCUCGGAGGACAGCACAUCUGGAGCUGUCUGGGUCUGGAUGCAUAGGCUCCUGGGAUUCUUCUGCCUGCCCUUUUCAACUGCAAGAGGAAGGAAAGAAAAGCACAAAGAAGAUGCGCGUGAGGUUAACUAAUUUUUAUAACCACCACCACCACAUGGGGCUCACAACCAGCCUACUGCCGCCACACCAGAGCAUCUGAACCAUGUUUUACGUUGGGACGUACACAUGGUGGCAGGCUGGAGUAGAUCGGGGAUCAGGAUGGGUGGAACUCGUCAACAGGGCCAAUGGCUUUAGUUCUCACUGUGAAGAUUUAAUGGGGAGUUAUGCACAUGAGCCAAACAGAUUUAGCAACUCAGAAACAUAAAACACUGGAGGCAGGGAAGAGGCAAAAUAGUGACUUCGUGGCCUUUAUUUUUAAUUCACCAUUGUUGUCUGUGUUCAUGAUGUUAUGUGCAUGAGAGUACAGGUUCUCAAAGACUACUGCGGUCCUGUGGCGGUCAGAGGACCACCUCCUAGAGCUGGUUUCCUUUUACUAUGAGUUCCAGGAUCAAGCGCAGGUCACUAGGCUUGCAUGGCAAGCACUUUCACCUGCUGAGCCAUCCCUCCAACUCCACUUCAUAGUUUUUACUCUUCCAGUUAAGUUGACAAAUCUGAAAGUCCUUUCCUGUGUCUGUUGGGGUAGUCCCGCGAUUUCUGUCCUUGAGUCCGUUUGUGUGUGCAUACGCGCAUGUGUAUGUAAGGGGGCAGGGGGAGAGAGAACGAAUGUGAGUCUGCUAUCACAGUGACGCAGUAAAUUAUACCAGGUGACGAAAAGGAACAAGAGUGGCACUGCACUCAUGACACAGGCUGAACAAAGUACAAUUAUACAGUAGGCAGAACUAAGACACACUAUUCAAACGGUUUCCCAUUUUGGAGAAAUGCUGAAGCUAGCCGGUAGUGCACUUAAAUCUAGGAUGCGGUUUAAAUCCCCUUGUGUCUUCAAACAGACGAUGAAAGGGUAUGAUUAAAAAGCAGAGAUUUAAAAAAAAAAAGAAAAGAAAAGAAAAAAGAAAUCAUGGGAUAAGCACUGAGGAAAAUUCUGAUUAUUGGACUUGAAAUGCUUUUCUUUCCUCUCGAAGGCUCCUUUUUAAAAAAUUUGUUAGACUGGGCAUGGUGACACACACUUUUAAUUUAAUUGCUUGGGGGCUGGGGGUGGGGAGGCAGGUGGAUCUCUGAGUUCCAAGACAGCCUGGUCUACAGAGGUUUUGUAGGCCAACUGAGGAGGCGCACUGAGACCCUGCCACCAAAUAAAUGAGUACAUGUGUUAUUUUUGUUUGUUUGUCAGCAUGCUAAGUAAUAGGCUUCAUUAUAGUAUUUCAUAGAUGAUUUGUUUAAGUUUUAGUAAGUUCUUCACAGUUGCUUGCUGGUCUGCCUCCUCCACCCUAAAGCCCUCCCAUUUUCCCAGGAAACCCUUCCUCCUUUACCUCACUGCCCCCUGUACCCUUUCCACAAACACCUCCCACAGAGCUGUCUUCCCCGCUGUCUUUCUGGUCAUUGUCACAGUCUACUCUGCAGAUGUCACCGAAAUCUAAUGACCCAGCAUAUACACUGGAGAUCCUGCACUUUGCUCCUCCGAGGUUACUGGGAAAAGCAGCGUGUGCCUGUGCGCCUGGAUACACUGCCUCAUUUUUCAACAAGCGCAAACUUCGUUCCCCGUGUAGU
This 2349-nucleotide long non-coding RNA is filed under the name Mus musculus (house mouse). RNAcentral's name for it is "RIKEN cDNA B430010I23 gene". Lineage: Eukaryota; Metazoa; Chordata; Mammalia; Rodentia; Muridae. The record is from RNAcentral.